This 253-nucleotide ribosomal RNA is filed under the name uncultured bacterium. RNAcentral describes it as "partial 16S ribosomal RNA". It matches the Rfam family "Bacterial small subunit ribosomal RNA", at positions 524 to 776 of the family's 1533-position model. The record is from RNAcentral.
UACGGAGGGUGCGAGCGUUGUCCGGAAUUACUGGGCGUAAAGCGUGCGCAGGCGGUGAUGUAAGACAGGUGUGAAAUCCCCGGGCUUAACCUGGGAACUGCAUUUGUGACUGCAUUGCUGGAGUGCGGCAGAGGGGGAUGGAAUUCCGCGUGUAGCAGUGAAAUGCGUAGAUAUGCGGAGGAACACCGAUGGCGAAGGCAAUCCCCUGGGCCUGCACUGACGCUCAUGCACGAAAGCGUGGGGAGCAAACAGG